Molecule: transfer RNA, 94 nt
Filed under: Ceratobasidium sp. AG-Ba
Lineage: Eukaryota; Fungi; Basidiomycota; Agaricomycetes; Cantharellales; Ceratobasidiaceae
Description: tRNA-Glu
Rfam family: tRNA
About the family: Transfer RNA (tRNA) molecules are approximately 80 nucleotides in length.
Source: RNAcentral
UCCGGUAUGGUGUAACGGCUAACAUUGUCGCCUUUCAUAUGACUAAUCCUGUCACGUGACGCGACGGCUCGGGGUUCGAUUCCCCGUACCGGAG